CUACGGGGGGCAGCAGUGGGGAAUCUUAGACAAUGGGGGAAACCCUGAUCUAGCCAUGCCGCGUGAGUGAUGAAGGCCCUAGGGUCGUAAAGCUCUUUCGCCAGGGAUGAUAAUGACAGUACCUGGUAAAGAAACCCCGGCUAACUCCGUGCCAGCAGCCGCGGUAAUACGGAGGGGGUUAGCGUUGUUCGGAAUUACUGGGCGUAAAGCGCGCGUAGGCGGACUAGUCAGUCAGAGGUGAAAUCCCAGGGCUCAACCCCGGAACUGCCUUUGAUACUGCUAGUCUUGAGUUCGAGAGAGGUGAGUGGAAUUCCGAGUGUAGAGGUGAAAUUCGUAGAUAUUCGGAGGAACACCAGUGGCGAAGGCGGCUCACUGGCUCGAUACUGACGCUGAGGUGCGAAAGUGUGGGGAGCAAACAGGAUUAGAUACCCGCGUAGUC
Molecule: ribosomal RNA, 439 nt
Filed under: uncultured bacterium
Lineage: Bacteria
Description: partial 16S ribosomal RNA
Rfam family: Bacterial small subunit ribosomal RNA
Source: RNAcentral